This 253-nucleotide ribosomal RNA is filed under the name uncultured bacterium. Its description in RNAcentral is "partial 16S ribosomal RNA". It matches the Rfam family "Bacterial small subunit ribosomal RNA", at positions 524 to 776 of the family's 1533-position model. The record is from RNAcentral.
UACGAAGGGUGCAAACGUUGCUCGGAAUCAUUGGGCGUAAAGCGCACGUAGGCGGCCUUGCAAGUCGGAUGUGAAAUCCCACGGCUCAACCGUGGACGUGCAUCCGAAACUGCUCGGCUCGAGUAUGGAAGAGGGUCGCGGAAUUCCCGGUGUAGAGGUGAAAUUCGUAGAUAUCGGGAGGAACACCAGUGGCGAAGGCGGCGACCUGGCCCGAUACUGACGCUGAGGCACGAAAGCGUGGGGAGCAAACAGG